RNAcentral lists this unclassified non-coding RNA (422 nucleotides) under fungal sp. RNAcentral describes it as "partial internal transcribed spacer region". The stretch from base 1 to 46 matches the Rfam family "Eukaryotic small subunit ribosomal RNA", at positions 1786 to 1831 of the family's 1831-position model. Lineage: Eukaryota; Fungi. The record is from RNAcentral.
AAGUCGUAACAAGGUCUCCGUAGGUGAACCUGCGGAGGGAUCAUUAACAAAAAUCAAAAAAAAAACACAAAUGAAUCCCAAGAACGGAACGAGCCCCAAAAGCUUUUUCUCUUUUUUCGAUUCUUUUUUGCUUUUUUUUUAAUUCAAAAAACACUUUGCGAACCAUGUGACUGACCAAGUUGUUUUUCCGACGCUCUCACGAGUCGAACGAAAUCCUUGGCUUUUUUUUCACUAACAACCAAUUUCACCAAUUUUUUCUAUGAUUUUCUCAUUGCUCGUCUGAGCAGUGAAAGAAGCACAGGAAAAGCCAAUUGAAUAUCAAAAACUGAAAAGUUGAAAAUUUAAUUUCUAAUUUUUUCUUUUUCACAAAAUAAAAAAACAAAAUUAAAGCACAACUCUUAGCAACGGAUAUCUUGGUUCUC